RNAcentral lists this ribosomal RNA (443 nucleotides) under uncultured bacterium. Its description in RNAcentral is "partial 16S ribosomal RNA". It matches the Rfam family "Bacterial small subunit ribosomal RNA", at positions 338 to 795 of the family's 1533-position model. The record is from RNAcentral.
CCUACGGGAGGCAGCAGUGGGGAAUAUUGGGCAAUGGGCGCACGCCUGACCCAGCAACGCCGCGUGAAGGAAGACGGCUUUCGGGUUGUAAACUUCUUUUCUCAGGGACGAAGCAAGUGACGGUACCUGCGGAAUAAGCCACGGCUAACUACGUGCCCGCAGCCGCGGUAAUACGUAGGUGGCAAGCGUUAUCCGGAUUUACUGGGUGUAAAGGGCGUGUAGGCGGGACUGCAAGUCAGAUGUGAAAACCACGGGCUCAACCUGUGGACUGAAUUUGAAACUGUAGUUCUUGAGUACUGGAGAGGCAGACGGAAUUCCUAGUGUAGCGGUGAAAUGCGUAGAUAUUAGGAGGAACACCAGGGGCGAAGGCGGUCUGCUGGACAGCAACUGACGCUGAGGCGCGAAAGCGUGGGGAGCAAACAGGAUUAGAUACCCCGGUAGUC